GACGGACGCUGGCGGCGUGCUUAACACAUGCAAGUCGAACGGAAAGGCCCCAGCUUGCUGGGGUACUCGAGUGGCGAACGGGUGAGUAACACGUGGGUGAUCUGCCCUGCACUCUGGGAUAAGCCUGGGAAACUGGGUCUAAUACCGGAUAGGACCGUGCUUUAGUGUGUGCGGUGGAAAGUUUUUCGGUGCAGGAUGAGCCCGCGGCCUAUCAGCUUGUUGGUGGGGUAAUGGCCUACCAAGGCGGCGACGGGUAGCCGGCCUGAGAGGGUGUACGGCCACAUUGGGACUGAGACACGGCCCAGACUCCUACGGGAGGCAGCAGUGGGGAAUAUUGCACAAUGGGCGCAAGCCUGAUGCAGCGACGCCGCGUGGGGGAUGACGGCCUUCGGGUUGUAAACCCCUUUCGGCAGGGACGAAGCUUUUGUGAUGGUACCUGCAUAAGAAGCACCGGCUAACUACGUG
Molecule: ribosomal RNA, 465 nt
Filed under: uncultured bacterium
Lineage: Bacteria
Description: partial 16S ribosomal RNA
Rfam family: Bacterial small subunit ribosomal RNA
Source: RNAcentral